Molecule: ribosomal RNA, 381 nt
Filed under: uncultured eukaryote
Lineage: Eukaryota
Description: partial 18S ribosomal RNA
Rfam family: Eukaryotic small subunit ribosomal RNA
Source: RNAcentral
CAAUAGCGUAUAUUAAAGCUGUUGCGGUUAAAAAGCUCGUAGUUGGAUUUCUGUCAAGGACAACUGGUCCGCCCUCCGGGUGAGCACAUAGUUUGGUCUUGGCAUCUUGCUGGAAACUGUUGCUGCGCUUGGUUGUGUGGUGCAGCUUUCAGCACUUUCACUUUGAGGAAAUUGGAGUGUUUCAAGCAGGCACAUGCCUUUGGACACAGUAGCAUGGAAUAAUUAGAUUGGGCUUUUGCUCCAACUUGUUGGUUCCUGGAGCUGAGGUGAGAAUCAAUGGGGAUUGUUGGGGGCAUCCGAAUUUAGCCGUCAGAGGUGAAAUUCUUGGAUCUGCUAAAGACGGACAACUGCGAAANCGNNNGCGCAGGAUGUUUUCAUNGA